RNAcentral lists this unclassified non-coding RNA (492 nucleotides) under Hevea brasiliensis (rubber tree). Lineage: Eukaryota; Viridiplantae; Streptophyta; Magnoliopsida; Malpighiales; Euphorbiaceae. The record is from RNAcentral.
CCACAUUUUGGCCCAAAAAUGUAACAGAUGCCCCAGCAGCUGUCUUGUUCUUCUUGAAAUUUUUGAAUUUAGUCUCACCUCUAAAGAUGUAGGCAAGUUGCUUCCCAACAUUUUGAAUGUCAAACCCUGCCAUGCUUGAGCCAUCCUCUCCAUGCUUUGCAGAGAUUGAAGAAUCCAAAUGGAUGCUAAACUCUUUCUUAUCCUUGGUUACUUGAACAGCAACUGCUGCUGGAAAUCGAUUAGCAACAGCUAGACUUUGUUCAAUGUUGACACCAUCAUACCCACAAUCAUGGUCCCAACCAUGGGUGUCCAGAACAGGCCUUGCCAGAAACUGUGAAAUUGGUUCCAAAAAACGGUACCUAUAAGCUGGAUUAUCACCAUCAAACGAAGGUGGCAAGACCAUAUCAGGUAAUGGAACUGGCACUGCAGCUGGAGCUCCAUUUUCUGGAUCAACAUCUUCUCCAUCGUAACCAUAUUCAUCUGUAGCAACCU